Molecule: transfer RNA, 73 nt
Filed under: Megalops atlanticus (tarpon)
Lineage: Eukaryota; Metazoa; Chordata; Actinopteri; Elopiformes; Megalopidae
Description: tRNA-OTHER
Source: RNAcentral
UGCACGGUGGCUUAGUGGUUAGCACUGUUGCCUCACAGCAAGAAGGUCCUGGGUUCAAAUCCCCAGUUUGCAU